Pollicipes pollicipes is the source of this 843-nucleotide long non-coding RNA. RefSeq lists it as uncharacterized. The record is from RefSeq and is a predicted model, not a curated record. The transcript is spliced from 3 exons. Lineage: Eukaryota; Metazoa; Arthropoda; Thecostraca; Pollicipedomorpha; Pollicipedidae.
UACCCUUACGUCAAAGCGCGGCGCGUACGCCGGCUGGGAGUGAAGGAAGAAGUUGUGUUCUGGGCCUGGCAUUUUCGUUAAGACUAAUAAGAUCGAGAUGGCAGACUCGUUUGUUAGCGUGGUCAAGAAACUGUGCACCGAGUACGGGAAAACCACCCCGAAAAAGUUGAUGAUUAUUGAUGCUUACCUAGUCCAGAUUUUCAUCACUGGAGUUCUGCAGUUCGUUUACUGUUGCCUAGUCGGCACGUUUCCCUUCAACUCGUUCCUCAGUGGCUUCAUUUCCUGUGUUGGUUCAUUUGUCCUGGGAGUAUGUCUGAGGCUGCAGGUGAACCCCCAAAACAAGAGCGAGUUUAGUGGCAUAAGUCCAGAGAGGGGUUUUGCUGACUUCAUCUUCGCUCAUGUUAUUCUCCACCUGGUGGUGAUGAACUUCAUUGGGUAGACACAUUAACUGCACAGGCGGGCACCAGAUCACGCCGACUGCUCGGGACCGCGCGGCCACUCCCGUUGAUGCAGUCAUUUCAGCACCUGGGCUAUUCACUUGUUUCGACACGAAAAUGCUGGGGUUGUUUGCCGUCGUGAAACGCUGCCUCUUUUGUGUGCUGCCGGCCGCCAUGCGGGUCCGUUACGCCCGCCCCGCUGUACAGGGGACCAUCUGAGACGCUCCGCUGUACGGGGGGCCAUCUGAGACGCUCCGCUGUGCAGGGGACCAUCUGAGACGCUCCGCUGCGCAGGGGACCAUCUGAGAUGCUCCGCUGUUCAGGGUCCACGCGAAGACGGCGCGCAGACGUUCCGCGAGGACCAGUCGCGAAUUGCGUAUUACGUGAAUACAGGCAAAGUGGGUCA